UCGUGGAGUGAUUCGUCUUGUUAAUUCAGAUAACGAGCGAGACCUUAACCUGCUAAUUAGCUAGAGAGGGGCUUGCCCCGUCAUCGAACAGGACCUGUUAGGGUUCGAUAGAUUCUCUAGAUCAUACUAUUAAUGAUAGUAACUUCUUAGAGGCACAGCACUCGCACAAUAGAGUGAGGAAGUUUAAGGCGAUAACG
RNAcentral lists this ribosomal RNA (197 nucleotides) under uncultured eukaryote. RNAcentral's name for it is "partial 18S ribosomal RNA". It matches the Rfam family "Eukaryotic small subunit ribosomal RNA", at positions 1299 to 1457 of the family's 1831-position model. The record is from RNAcentral.